CUGGAAACUAGCUUGUAAUGUUCAAAACAAGAUGGACAAGAUAAUCUGGCUAAAUUUAAGACAAUAAGUCUUGUUAAGGAAUUUGCAGUGUGUGAUGUGUGCCCUCUGUUCUUGCCCUGGUCUUUAUUUAUACACAAGAAGAGUAAUACAACAAUGAAUACAUUUGUUCAGUGGAAUGUUGUUACGUAAGCAUGUGGGUAUGUGGUUGUGUGUGUGUGUGGUUUGUGGGAAGCAGUGUAUAAAUAUCCAGGCUGUCGGAAAACACAAGUCACUCCUCUCCUCUGACACUCCAGACUGAAGCUUUCAUUUGCCGAUCUACACUUUUCUCGAUCUCAUCAUGGAGCCUCAUCCAAAUAGAAAAGAAUAUUUUAUAAAAUAUAAACAUUUAAAUAUCGAUGAUUUAAAAAAGGAGGCUGCUGACUUGCAGAAUGAUUACCUUAAAAACACAAAAACCUCUGAAUAUCCCAAACCAGAAUUUUAUGUGUCUCAUCUAAAACACGACACAGGCCCAAAAGCUUUACGUGAGAUAAAGGAUGAAGGCCUCAAGGAUCCAUCCAAUAAUGACAGUCUGUCCCUGGUGUGGUGGAGUCUGGCUGUGCGACCAGAAGAGAUCCAAUCAGCUGAGAGGAGGCUCCUGGAGGAGACCUUCCCAAACCGGACCAAGGAGCAGGCCCAGAGGCAGCAAAGCUUCCUGUUGAAGUUUGCCUCCUCUCCAGCCUUCAGUGAGAAGUCCAGAUAUGGAUCGUACCGCUUCACCUUCACAGUGAAUGAGGUGCUGGAGGCCUACAGACAGCAGAUUUGCAACGACAUGCAGCCCGUCAUGCGGGUCUUCAAGACCUCCUUGUACAAAAAGGAAGUGAUGUAUGUGGUGCUGGUCCACAGCCCAAAUGAUAACAACAAUAAGAUCUAUAACUUCGAACAGUAUCCCAUCCUGCCUGAUGAGCCGAACCCCAUCUGUGCUUACAAAGAUGGAUGCUUCAUCUGGAGACCACAGGCCAUGUGUGGGGAAAAAAGGUAUAUGUAUAAAAAAGACGAGGUCAACAACCUGGCAGAGGUUGAAGGGCCGUUUGGACCACCUUACUGUGUCUGGGAUCACGUCGUCCUUGCCCUGCAUGUAAAGAGCGGACAGAAACUGAAGUUUAACUCUGAUGAUCUGAGAAAGAACCUCUCAUUCUGUGAGCGUGAUGCUGUGAUAGUCAAAUCUGAAGAUUGCUUUAUUAAUUACGAGGAAGCUCAAGAGCUGGUUACUUCUCUGUGGCCACUGAAGAAGGAGGGGGAGGAGAAGGAUUCACCCAUGCAGAGUAUGGCAGGUCUCACUCUCUUGGAAAGAAAAAGACCACAAGACGAUUAAAUGGAGUCUUAAGACUCCCUGCAGCAAGACAGCAUCCUUAGUUUGAACUCUCUGGUUUCUGCCAACUUUUCUUGUUCCUUAUUUUUACGAGACCAAAUAUAAAACUUCAUGUUGGUGUGGUGAAAGCAUUGAAAGCAUGUGAAUUUCAUGUUUUAUAUUGUAAUCUUUAGUCAUGCUGAGGCUGUCUGUGGGGCAAUCUUACUUUUAUUCUCCUAUUUCUGAGUGAGUGGAGCAUCAACCUGCUGCCAGCAAAACCGCGGUGGAGGUUAUAUAGACGGAUCGUUCAGCAGGAAGGAACUCAAACUGUUUCACGUGAUUUUAAUAGUUGAUUUAAGGUUCAUUUAAUGAACUUCGUGUGGUCACUAAAUGCACAGUAAAAGACAAAUGAUGACACAAACAUGAUAAUAUGAGAAACGUGUGAUCAUGUGUUUUACUGCAGUCUGUCCUGUCUGGGUGUGAUGUGUUCAAGUACCUGAAUUAAAAAGAAAUUACUUUGUACACAUAAAAACUGGACAAUAAAGUUGAUUUGAAACAGUUUUAUGUUUUUAAUUUUCAUUGGAUUCUCUCAGAAAAUCUAAAAAAGUAGACAUAUUAAUACAUUCAUCUGUCGCUCUGCAUGUGGAGAGCACACACACAUACACAGAGAGAGAGAGAGAGAGAGAGAGAGAGAGAGAGAGAGAGAGAGAGACAAACUCAUAGUAUGAAUUCUGUUUAACACAGUUUUAAAUGUUUUAGUUGUUCAUUCGAUAUUAUUAGUAUGACAGAGAUGGCGGGCAGCAAUGUAGAGAUCUUCAUAACCAAUUUGGCUGAAACUGUGUUAUCGAAUAUGUGUUUAGAUGUAUUUUACAUUCUUAUAAUAACCUUAUUAGGAUCAAGUUCAUCAUCACACCAGAUUUGAAAGAGGACAUCGUGACUAUACCGAGCCGGGUCACCGCUGUAGACAAUCCGUCAAAGGAGGAGCAAGAGAGAGUUGUAGCAUCCCGAGCUCUCCGUCCUAUCAUACGCAAUCCUCGUGGGCUGCAGGUCAUGAGACUCCAAGCAGGAAGAGGAGCCCGGCAACGAAGGAAUUUCCAUAAGAGGGAGGUCCUGCGAAUGCUCUCCAGCAUGUACUCCACAACCCUUUUGGCCUAUGUAUCAAUAGCAAACAGCAGGGAUUUGUAAUGUGUGGGGAAUAAAAAAUAAAAAAAUCAUGUCAAACCAGCACUGUAUUCCAGAUCUUUGUUGGACGCCUUUAGAAAACGCUCUCCAGGUCCUCCUUCAAAACCUUAAACGAUCGGCUUGUGUGGCAGCGGUACCCUGACCCGCUGGAGCCGAUAGAAAGUGCUCUUCAACUAUGGCCAGAACGAGCCUGACCGGCAUGAGUAAAUGAAGGGUGUCUUCAAAAGAAUACCGCGGUCAAGUGAGCCCUCACUUACGAAGUCACAGUCAAGCUAGCCGCCCCGCCAGCCGCACCUAAAAUGUGGUUGCACUACUCUUACG
This is a long non-coding RNA of Oreochromis aureus, 2830 nucleotides long. NCBI's taxonomy places the organism in Eukaryota, Metazoa, Chordata, Actinopteri, Cichliformes, Cichlidae. The record is from Ensembl.